GCUAGCUCAAUCGGUAGAGCGUGAGACUCUUAAUCUCAAGGUUGUGGGUUCGACCCGUAAGUUGCA
This 66-nucleotide transfer RNA is filed under the name Colletotrichum orchidophilum. It matches the Rfam family "tRNA". Rfam says of the family: Transfer RNA (tRNA) molecules are approximately 80 nucleotides in length. Their secondary structure includes four short double-helical elements and three loops (D, anti-codon, and T loops). The record is from Rfam by way of RNAcentral. Lineage: Eukaryota; Fungi; Ascomycota; Sordariomycetes; Glomerellales; Glomerellaceae.